GAUGAAGAACGUAGCGAAGUGCGAUAAGUAAUGUGAAUUGCAGAAUUCAGUGAAUCAUCGAAUCUUUGAACGCACAUUGCGCCCGCCAGUAUUCUGGCGGGCAUGCCUGUUCGAGCGUCAUUUCAACCAUCAAGCCCCAGGCUUGUGUUGGGGACCUGCGGCUGCCGCAGGCCCUGAAAACCAGUGGCGGGCUCGCUGUCACACCGGGCGUAGUAGAUUUUAUCUCGCUCAGGGCGUGCUGCGGGUUCCGGCCGUUAAAAAGCCUUUUUUACCCAAGGUUGACCUCGGAUCAGGUAGGAAGACCCGCUGAACUUAAGCAUAUCAAUAAGCGGAGGA
RNAcentral lists this unclassified non-coding RNA (336 nucleotides) under soil metagenome. Its description in RNAcentral is "partial contains 5.8S ribosomal RNA, internal transcribed spacer 2, and large subunit ribosomal RNA". The stretch from base 1 to 120 matches the Rfam family "5.8S ribosomal RNA", at positions 35 to 154 of the family's 154-position model. The record is from RNAcentral.